UUGCACCUUAGGAAAUUUGAUC
Molecule: microRNA, 22 nt
Filed under: Picea abies (Norway spruce)
Lineage: Eukaryota; Viridiplantae; Streptophyta; Pinopsida; Pinales; Pinaceae
Description: pab-miR11409g
Source: miRBase by way of RNAcentral